This 515-nucleotide ribosomal RNA is filed under the name uncultured bacterium. RNAcentral's name for it is "partial 16S ribosomal RNA". It matches the Rfam family "Bacterial small subunit ribosomal RNA", at positions 28 to 523 of the family's 1533-position model. The record is from RNAcentral.
GAUGAACGCUGGCGGCGUGCCUAAUACAUGCAAGUCGAGCGAAUGGAUUAAGAGCUUGCUCUUAUGAAGUUAGCGGCGGACGGGUGAGUAACACGUGGGUAACCUGCCCAUAAGACUGGGAUAACUCCGGGAAACCGGGGCUAAUACCGGAUAAUAUUUUGAACUGCAUGGUUCAAAAUUGAAAGGCGGCCUCGGCUGUCACUUAUGGAUGGACCCGCGUCGCAUUAGCUAGUUGGUGAGGUAACGGCUCACCAAGGCAACGAUGCGUAGCCGACCUGGGAGGGUGUUCGGCCAAACUGGGAAUGAGACACGGCCCAGACUCCUACGGGAGGCAGCAGAAGGGAAUCUUCCGCAAUGGACGAAAGUCUGACGGAGCAACGCCGCGUGAGUGACGAAGGCUUUCGGGUCGUAAAACUCUGUUGUUAGGGAAGAACAAGUGCUAGUUGAAUAAGCUGGCACCUUGACGGUACCUAACCAGAAAGCCACGGCUAACUACGUGCCAGCCGCCGCGGUAA